RNAcentral lists this ribosomal RNA (301 nucleotides) under uncultured bacterium. RNAcentral describes it as "partial 16S ribosomal RNA". It matches the Rfam family "Bacterial small subunit ribosomal RNA", at positions 509 to 808 of the family's 1533-position model. The record is from RNAcentral.
CAGUCGCGCGGGAAUACGAAGGGGGCUAGCGUUGCUCGGAAUUACUGGGCGUAAAGGGAGCGUAGGCGGACAUUUAAGUCAGGGGUGAAAUCCCAGAGCUCAACUCUGGAACUGCCUUUGGUACUGGGUGUCUUGAGUGUGAUAGAGGUAUGUGGAACUCCGAGUGUAGAGGUGAAAUUCGUAGAUAUUCGGAAGAACACCAGUGGCGAAGGCGACAUACUGGAUCAUUACUGACGCUGAGGCUCGAAAGCGUGGGGAGCAAACAGGAUUAGAUACCCCUGUAGUCCCUGUCUCUUAUACA